RNAcentral lists this long non-coding RNA (250 nucleotides) under Elaeis guineensis (African oil palm). RNAcentral describes it as "long non-coding RNA (EGUI_LNC021443)". Lineage: Eukaryota; Viridiplantae; Streptophyta; Magnoliopsida; Arecales; Arecaceae. The record is from RNAcentral.
UUUCUUCUCUUAAACAUCUUACUUUGUAAUUAGUGUUAAAAUUGAAAGUUUUAAGACCCCAAAGACAUCUGCACCGAUAUCCAAUUGAAAGAUGAUAGCAUAGUAUAUGAAAGGUGUCAUUAUUUUGUUAGAAGAGAGACUACGCUGUCAUGUAAUGCUUUAUGAUAAUUUAAAUAGAUAAUAUUCAGGAGAAUUACUACGGGAUUUGAAUUAAUUACGUUAAGGAACUAAUUAUGAAGCAUGGUGACCA